GCCUACGGGGGGCAGCAGUAGGGAAUUUUCGUCAAUGGGCGCAAGCCUGAACGAGCAAUGCCGCGUGAACGAGGAAGGUCUUCGGAUCGUAAAGUUCUGUUGAAGGGGAAAAAGAGCGGAGAGAGGAAAUGGUCUCCGAUUGAUAUUACCCUUCGAGGAAGUCACGGCUAACUACGUGCCAGCAGCCGCGGUAAUACGUAGGUGGCGAGCGUUAUCCGGAAUGAUUGGGCGUAAAGGGUGCGUAGGCGGCCUGCUAAGUCUGGAGUGAAAGGUAUCGGCUCAACCGGUACAGGCUCUGGAAACUG
Molecule: ribosomal RNA, 305 nt
Filed under: uncultured bacterium
Lineage: Bacteria
Description: bacterial SSU rRNA
Rfam family: Bacterial small subunit ribosomal RNA
Source: RNAcentral